This 1544-nucleotide long non-coding RNA is filed under the name Macaca fascicularis (crab-eating macaque). Its description in RNAcentral is "lncRNA (ENSMFAG00000062288.1)". The record is from RNAcentral. Lineage: Eukaryota; Metazoa; Chordata; Mammalia; Primates; Cercopithecidae.
UUUUUUGUUUUGUUUUUUGUUUUGAGAGGAGGCUCGCUCUGUCACCCAGGCUGGAGUGCAGUGGCGCGAUCUCGGGUCACUGCAACCUCUGCCUCCCAGGUUCAAGUGAUUCUCCUGCCUCAUCCUCCCGGGUAGCUGGGACUACAGGCGCCUACCACCACGCCUGGCUAAUUUUUUGUAUUUUUAGUAAAGAUGGGGUUUCACCGUGUUGGCCAGGAUGGUCUCAAUCUCCUGACCUUGUGAUCCGCCCGCCUCAGCCUCACAAAGUGCUGGGAUUACAGGCAUGAGCCACUGCGCCCGGCCAAAAACACAUAUUUAAAAGAGAAAUCAAACCGGACGCCGUGGCGCAGGACUGCAAUCCCAGCACUUUGUGAGGCAGAGCGGGAGGACAGCUUGAGCCCAGGAGGUUGAGACCGGCCUGGCCAACAUGGCGAAACCCAGUCUCUAAUAAAAAUGCAAAAAUUAGCCGGGCGUGGUGGCAUGGCACCUAUAGUCUCAGCUACUCAGGAGGCUGAUGUGGGAAGAUUGCUUGAGGCUAAAUUAACCCUGAUCUUGCCACUCACUGUGCUCCAGCCCAGGCAACAAGGCGAGACCCUGUCUCGUUAAAAAAAGAAAGAAAAGAAACCAGGACAUUGAAAUUAGAGCUCUGACAUUUUAGAUAGCUUUCUAUAUCCACAGUAAGCUGACUAGUUCAAUCCAGAAGGUACUGUGGAUAACUUGGACAUAAUUGUCAUCUUUCAUAGUUAGAGAUUUUGAAAGAAAAUAUAACUUAAGCAAUCUUUCAGCUUCUUGGAGGUUGGGAGAGGAGAUCCCAAAAGAACACUCAAAAUAAUGAAACUCUCCCCAGCUGUUUACACCUAUGUAGAACCUAAAUUUAUUAAUUCAAUAAUGAUUUCAUGUGCUUACUGUCAAAAAAAAAAUUUUUAAGUGGGACACUCAUUAAAGCUGUAAAUUAGAUUUUAUUUAAUGAAAACUAUUGCAGUAGGGAAGUGGGUCCAGCAUGAACUGAACACAACUUUGCUGAAACAAAAGAUUGGAGACUUUUUAGAGGCUGUGGUGUGCUAAGGGAAAGGCACUGAGGAGUGUGAAGAGGUGGUUGGUCCUGCGACUAGGCCACCUGGGUGUGUUAAUCCAUGCUUAUGCAGAGGAGACACAUAAUUAUUCUGUUUUCAUGACAAGCAGUGGUGUAAGAGAGCAAGGUAGCCAUAGGGACUGGGAAUGAGAAUGAGAAGCACCUCCUUGAAUGUUUGCAGUUGAAGAGACAAACCCCCAGGUCCUUGAGAAGACAGUUCUUGGUGGUCAUGUGUCUGGAAUUGGUUCCUUCCAGUGGGUUCUUGGUCUCGCUAACUUCAAGAAUGAAGCCUCGGACCUUCGCAGUGAGUGUUACAGCUCUUAGAGGGGGCAUAGACCCAAAGAAUGAGCAGCAGCAAGAUUUAUUGUGAAGAGUGAAAGAACAAAGCUUCCACAGCAUGGAAGGGGACCCAGGUUGCCUCUGCUCGCUGGGGGGGUGGCCAGCUUUUAUUCCCUUAUUUGUGUCCCCCCCC